This 430-nucleotide ribosomal RNA is filed under the name uncultured bacterium. Its description in RNAcentral is "bacterial SSU rRNA". It matches the Rfam family "Archaeal small subunit ribosomal RNA", at positions 339 to 776 of the family's 1478-position model. The record is from RNAcentral.
GCGAGAAAACUUUGCAAUGUGCGAAAGCACGACAAGGUUAAUCCGAGUGGUUUCUGCUAAAGAAACCUUUUGUCAGUCCUAGAAACACUAACGAAUAAGGGGUGGGCAAGUUCUGGUGUCAGCCGCCGCGGUAAAACCAGCACCUCAAGUGGUCAGGAUGAUUAUUGGGCCUAAAGCAUCCGUAGCUCGUUUUGUAAGUCUUCGGUUAAAUCCAUGCGCUUAACGUAUGGGCUGCCGGGAAUACUGCAUAACUAGGAAGUGGGAGAGGUAGACGGUACUCGGUAGGAAGGGGUAAAAUCCUUUGAUCUAUUGAUGACCACCUGUGGCGAAGGCGGUCUACCAGAACACGUUCGACGGUGAGGGAUGAAAGCUGGGGGAGCAAACCGGAUUAGAUACCCAAGUAGUCCCUGAGCGGGCUGGCAAGGCGCAU